UUUCCGUAGGUGAACCUGCGGAAGGAUCAUUAUUGUAUAACCGAGGUGCGAGGGCUGUCGCUGACCCGAAAGGUCGUGCACGCCCGAGUGCCCUCACACACAUCCAUCUCACCCCUAUGUGCACCACCGCGUGGGUACCCCUUUGGCGUGUUCGGAGGGGGGCUUACGUUUUCACACAAACUUUGUAUGCAGUGUAGAAUGUAUUUUUUGUUUUUGCGAUCACGCAAUCAAUACAACUUUCAACAACGGAUCUCUUGGCUCUC
RNAcentral lists this unclassified non-coding RNA (263 nucleotides) under plant metagenome. Its description in RNAcentral is "partial contains small subunit ribosomal RNA, internal transcribed spacer 1, and 5.8S ribosomal RNA". The record is from RNAcentral.